GAUGAACGCUGGCGGCGUGCUUAACACAUGCAAGUCGAACGAACCUUCGGGUUAGUGGCGGACGGGUGAGUAACGCGUGGGAAUCUGCCCUCAGGAGGGGGAUAACGGCUGGAAACGGCCGCUAAUACCCCAUAUGCCGAGAGGUGAAAUGAAAUUCGCCUGAGGAUGAGCCCGCGUCUGAUUAGCUAGUUGGUGUGGUAAUGGCGCACCAAGGCUUCGAUCAGUAGCUGGUCUGAGAGGAUGAUCAGCCACACUGGGACUGAGACACGGCCCAGACUCCUACGGGAGGCAGCAGUGGGGAAUUUUCCGCAAUGGGCGAAAGCCUGACGGAGCAACGCCGCGUGAGGGAUGAAGGCCUCUGGGCUGUAAACCUCUUUUCUCAAGUAAGAAGAACUGACGGUACUUGAGACU
Molecule: ribosomal RNA, 411 nt
Filed under: uncultured bacterium
Lineage: Bacteria
Description: bacterial SSU rRNA
Rfam family: Bacterial small subunit ribosomal RNA
Source: RNAcentral